GCAGCAAGGGUGGUCUCAACCUGGGUUCAUUCCCCAGCUAAUAAAGUUCGAUUCUUUGUAGCGGCU
Molecule: transfer RNA, 66 nt
Filed under: Paramecium primaurelia
Lineage: Eukaryota; Ciliophora; Oligohymenophorea; Peniculida; Parameciidae
Source: Rfam by way of RNAcentral